This 263-nucleotide ribosomal RNA is filed under the name uncultured bacterium. RNAcentral describes it as "partial 16S ribosomal RNA". It matches the Rfam family "Bacterial small subunit ribosomal RNA", at positions 793 to 1055 of the family's 1533-position model. The record is from RNAcentral.
GUCCACGCCCUAAACUAUGUCAACUGGUUGUUGGGAAUUCACUUUCUCAGUAACGAAGCUAACGCGUGAAGUUGACCGCCUGGGGAGUACGGCCGCAAGGUUAAACUCAAAGGAAUUGACGGGGACCCGCACAAGCGGUGGAUGAUGUGGUUUAAUUCGAUGCAACGCGAAAACCUUACCCACCUUUGACAUGUACGGAAUUCGCCAGAGAUGGCUUUAGUGCUCGAAAGAGAGCCGUAACACAGGUGCUGCAUGGCUGUCGU